UCUCCCCUCCAGUUCAAGAAAGACCCUGAAGCAGGCUACGGGAGGGGGCAACUCUCUUUCCUUCCAACUAGAGGUGGGGAACAAAUGCAGGUCACAUAAACUUUUCUGUUGAGUUCUUUUCAUUCAUCAUUUAUCUUUUAAAAGAUAAAUUUCCAAGAGACAUAUUGCUGCUUCAAGGGUAUGAGAGAAGGGAUUCCCUUCAAGAACAAAUAUUGUAUGAAGAGGGACAGAAGAGAAACCAAGCUAUUUCUGGUGACAGGACUAGGUCCAUAAUGGAUUAUGAAAUAAAGAAAUUGAAGUCUAGUUAGACUAAGUGACUUGCUCAGGACCUGAAGUUAGGUCUUCUUGAUUCCAACUCAUUCAUUUUACCUACUACUAUUCUGCCUCAAGAUUUAAAAGACAUCUACCUACCUGAAGAUAGUCUGCUGGUGAGUUUAGAAGUGAUGAAUUUAUCCUGAAAGGGACAUCUUAUUCCCCUGAAUUAUUAUCAGCUAGAGAGAGCUGGUGAAGAGGUGGAAGUGAAAAAAACCAAUACAAAGAAAAACCAAUACAAAGGAUGAACAAGUGAUGGAAUUUCAGGCACUGUAUAGCAAGUUUGUAGAGAUAUUUGAAAAUUUUUUUGAAUAAUUUAGUGAGAAGUACUUUCUAUCAUUAUGAUACAACACAGGUAACUACAACUGGGGAAGCUCAUUAAAUGAUUUUCUGUUUUUAUUUGAGUUGGUUUCUCUUGGUACUUCUUGUAUAGCAACGUGCUGUAUAUCCACCCAAGGCAUCUUAUUGUCUGUCAUUGACUGGCUAUUUCCUUUCUUUUCUUAUUUGCAUUAUUACCUUCU
RNAcentral lists this long non-coding RNA (833 nucleotides) under Monodelphis domestica (gray short-tailed opossum). RNAcentral describes it as "lncRNA (ENSMODG00000042513.1)". Lineage: Eukaryota; Metazoa; Chordata; Mammalia; Didelphimorphia; Didelphidae. The record is from RNAcentral.